GAUGAACGCUGGCGGCGUGCCUAAUACAUGCAAGUCGAGCGAACAGACGAGGAGCUUGCUCCUCUGACGUUAGCGGCGGACGGGUGAGUAACACGUGGAUAACCUACCUAUAAGACUGGGAUAACUUCGGGAAACCGGAGCUAAUACCGGAUAAUAUAUUGAACCGCAUGGUUCAAUAGUGAAAGACGGUUUUGCUGUCACUUAUAGAUGGAUCCGCGCUUCAUUAGCUAGUUGGUAAGGUAACGGCUUACCAAGGCAACGAUGCGUAGCCGACCUGAGAGGGGUAGCCGGCCCGAGAGGAGGGGGGCCCGGGUCAGGACUGCGAGGGGGGCCAGACUAGGAAAGGUUGCCGCAGGGGGGAAAAUCUCACAGGGGAACGCCGCGGGAGGUAUGAAGGUCUUGGGCGGGAAAAACUCCUUUAUGUGGGAAAAAAAAAUGGGUUAUGAAAUAGCGCCGGUGUGGGGGAUGCGUAAAGAAAAACCGGCGAAAAACGUG
RNAcentral lists this ribosomal RNA (495 nucleotides) under uncultured bacterium. RNAcentral's name for it is "partial 16S ribosomal RNA". It matches the Rfam family "Bacterial small subunit ribosomal RNA", at positions 28 to 507 of the family's 1533-position model. The record is from RNAcentral.